AACGAACGCUGGCGGCGCGUUUUAAACAUGCAAGUCGAACGAGAAUCCCGGUGCUUGCAUUGGGAGGAGAGUGGCGAACGGGUGAGUAACACGUGGAUAAUCUACCUCUAGGAUUGGGAUAACUACUCGAAAGGGUGGCUAAUACCGGAUAAGAUGGUAGUUGCUUUAAGCAGCAGCCAUUAAAGGUGGGGACCGCAAGGCCUAUCACCUGGAGAUGAGUCCGCGGCCCAUUAGCUUGUUGGCGGGGUAACGGCCCACCAAGGCUACGAUGGGUAGCCGGCCUGAGAGGGUGACCGGCCACAUUGGGACUGAGAUACGGCCCAGACUCCUACGGGAGGCUG
This 341-nucleotide ribosomal RNA is filed under the name uncultured Spirochaetota bacterium. RNAcentral describes it as "bacterial SSU rRNA". It matches the Rfam family "Bacterial small subunit ribosomal RNA", at positions 29 to 351 of the family's 1533-position model. Lineage: Bacteria; Pseudomonadati; Spirochaetota. The record is from RNAcentral.